CCUGGCGGCCUUAGCGCGGUGGUCCCACCUGACCCCAUGCCGAACUCAGAAGUGAAACGCCGUAGCGCCGAUGGUAGUGUGGGGUCUCCCCAGGCGAGAGUAGGGAACUGCCAGGC
RNAcentral lists this ribosomal RNA (116 nucleotides) under Escherichia coli. Lineage: Bacteria; Pseudomonadati; Pseudomonadota; Gammaproteobacteria; Enterobacterales; Enterobacteriaceae. The record is from RNAcentral.